This is a non-coding RNA of Pelobates cultripes (western spadefoot toad), 114 nucleotides long. The record is from the annotation of a GenBank genome assembly. Lineage: Eukaryota; Metazoa; Chordata; Amphibia; Anura; Pelobatidae.
AAAAAGGAAUCACCACUUCUACAUCAACGUUUUGACCCUUCAGCGUCUUUAUCAAGAUCUUGAUCAAGACCCUGAAGGGUUGAAACGUUGAUGUAGAGGUGGUGAUUGCUUUUU